Triticum aestivum (bread wheat) is the source of this 125-nucleotide non-coding RNA. The record is from Rfam. NCBI's taxonomy places the organism in Eukaryota, Viridiplantae, Streptophyta, Magnoliopsida, Poales, Poaceae.
GACAUACUCCCUCCGUCCGGAAAUACAUGUCGCAUAAAUGGAUGAAAAUGGAUGUAUCUACAACUAAAAUACGUCUAGAUACAUCCAUUUUGCUGACAAGUAUUUCCGGACGGAGGGAGUACUAC